CAUUGAAAAAUCCCAAAAAUCAGUACAUUCAUCAAUUUAUAAUACUUAUACAGUCAUAUUUUCUCCCUCAGUGAACCCAUCUCCCUAAUUUAAACUAUCACAUAUAGAAGGUUACUAACACCUGAUUUCUUUCCUGGUUACUCCCCGCUUCCUUGACCAAACAUUCUUCUAUACCCUUCCAUUUUCCUCUCAAAUCUCCAUCUCCUUUUUGCCCUUCCAUCCGUAAUCCGUUAUUACUCAAUAUUUGAAAUUUCAUCACAUCUAGUAAAUAAUACGUCCAUUUCUCCAAUGUCCACUUGCUACUUUCUUUCCAACCAAAAGUGGAGGAGCUUCUAAUGAUAGCAUGCUACAUAUUCCCCUGGAGAGCAUCACACCCCUGGAGCUAUCAGUUGCUCCCCUUCCUCAAUAAUUUAUCAAUAUCUCAGGUUUUAUUUGUUCCCCUGUAGCCAAUUAUGUACAAAUUCAACAGUGACAGAGGCAAAGAUUGUUUUCAUUGCUUUCUUCUGGUUUUUCCUAAAGCUUAAACCUUCCAAUGGACAACUUCCAUUGGUUUCAGCCAGCACAGAUAUGUUGACUUGGGCUGAUGGGAGUUCUAGUCCAAAAUGUCUGGAUGACAUCAACUUGAGAACGGAUUUUAUGGACCAUGCAGGCUUUUGGGAAACCAUCUAUGCUUCUAUGGGACUGGAAAUUGAGGCAGGGAACCAUCGGUGUCUAUUACUGUCCUCAGCUGUCUUACAUGCACACUGGGAAGGGGAAUUGUGAGUUCCCUACUGCAAGAGAGAACUAGGGCUGCAGGUCUACAUCUUUCCCUUGAAACUGGAGUGCUAGUAAGGGUAAGUGAGGGUAUGACCCCUUCCUGAUUUCUUUUGGUUAAUGAUAA
Molecule: long non-coding RNA, 880 nt
Filed under: Salvator merianae (Argentine black and white tegu)
Lineage: Eukaryota; Metazoa; Chordata; Lepidosauria; Squamata; Teiidae
Description: lncRNA (ENSSMRG00000018433.1)
Source: RNAcentral